CCUACGGGGGGCAGCAGUGAGGAAUAUUGGUCAAUGGACGAGAGUCUGAACCAGCCAAGUAGCGUGAAGGAUGACUGCCCUAUGGGUUGUAAACUUCUUUUAUAUGGGAAUAAAAUGUUCCACGUGUGGGAUUUUGUAUGUACCAUAUGAAUAAGGAUCGGCUAACUCCGUGCCAGCAGCCGCGGUAAUACGGAGGAUCCGAGCGUUAUCCGGAUUUAUUGGGUUUAAAGGGAGCGUAGGUGGAUUGUUAAGUCAGUUGUGAAAGUUUGCGGCUCAACCGUAAAAUUGCAGUUGAAACUGGCAGUCUUGAGGACAGUAGAGGUGGGCGGAAUUCGUGGUGUAGCGGUGAAAUGCUUAGAUAUCACGAAGAACUCCGAUUGCGGAGGCAGUUCACUGGACUGCAAAUGGCACUGAGGCUCGAAAGUGUGGGUAUCAAACCGGAUUAGAUACCCUGGUAGUC
This 460-nucleotide ribosomal RNA is filed under the name uncultured bacterium. RNAcentral describes it as "partial 16S ribosomal RNA". It matches the Rfam family "Bacterial small subunit ribosomal RNA", at positions 338 to 795 of the family's 1533-position model. The record is from RNAcentral.